CAGAGGGUGCAAGCGUUGUUCGGAAUUACUGGGCGUAAAGGGCGCGUAGGCGGUCCGCUAAGUCUGGUGUGAAAUCCCCCGGCUCACCCGGGGAAGCGCGCCGGAAACUGACGGACUCGAGUACCGGAGAGGAGGGUGGAAUUCCUGGUGUAGCGGUGAAAUGCGUAGAUAUCAGGAGGAACACCGGUGGCGAAGGCGGCCCUCUGGACGAGUACUGACGCUGAGGCGCGAAAGCGUGGGGAUCAAACAGGAUUAGAUACCCUGGUAGUCCACGCUGUAAACGAUGGGAACUAGGUGUGAGGGAUUUAAUCUCUCGUGCCGCAGCUAACGCAUUAAGUUCCCCGCCUGGGGAUUACGGCCGCAAGGUUA
This 369-nucleotide ribosomal RNA is filed under the name uncultured organism. RNAcentral describes it as "bacterial SSU rRNA". It matches the Rfam family "Bacterial small subunit ribosomal RNA", at positions 526 to 896 of the family's 1533-position model. The record is from RNAcentral.